AGGGUUUGAUUAUGGCUCAGGAUGAACGCUGGCGGCGUGCUUAACACAUGCAAGUCGAACGGAGUUUACAUGAAACCUAGUGAUUGUAAACUUAGUGGCGGACGGGUGAGUAACGCGUGGGUAACCUGCCUUGUACUGGGGGACAACAGUUGGAAACGACUGCUAAUACCGCAUAAGCGCACAGCUUCGCAUGAAGCAGUGUGAAAAACUGAGGUGGUACAAGAUGGACCCGCGUCUGAUUAGCUAGUUGGUAAGGUAACGGCUUACCAAGGCGACGAUCAGUAGCCGGCCUGAGAGGGUGAACGGCCACAUUGGGACUGAGACACGGCCCAA
This 333-nucleotide ribosomal RNA is filed under the name uncultured bacterium. RNAcentral's name for it is "bacterial SSU rRNA". It matches the Rfam family "Bacterial small subunit ribosomal RNA", at positions 8 to 334 of the family's 1533-position model. The record is from RNAcentral.